Molecule: ribosomal RNA, 62 nt
Filed under: uncultured organism
Description: partial 16S ribosomal RNA
Source: RNAcentral
CACCUUUGACAUGUACGGAAUCCUUUAGAGAUAGAGGAGUGCUCGAAAGAGAGCCGUAACAC